Linepithema humile (Argentine ant) is the source of this 552-nucleotide non-coding RNA. NCBI's taxonomy places the organism in Eukaryota, Metazoa, Arthropoda, Insecta, Hymenoptera, Formicidae. The record is from RefSeq and is a predicted model, not a curated record.
UGAAAUAUUCAGAUGAUAGAAAAGGUUGUACGGAAGAAAACAAAAUAUUUUGUGGCAACAGAUGUUAUAUUGAAUCAAUCUCAUUGGACCCUAAAGGAACAAAAUUUGCGGUUAUUUCCAAUGAUUGCUCAGACUUUUCUCCUAAGUCGUCGUUUCUAAUUUACGAUUUUGAUAAAAGGAAUUUUAGUAAUCAGAUAAUAAAUAUAAAAUAUGAUGAUCCUUGUCAGCAACUAAUAUGGGAGGAUACUCACACUAUUCUCAUGCGUUUUUAUUAUUCUAUUAAAAAAAUGGAUUUGAGAACAUCCGAAUUUGUACGUACAUGGGAUUCUUCCAAAUAUCGCCCAUCACGCUGUUGCUCAUCAGAUAAUAUAAACACUUUUAUGACAGGGCAUUAUAUGGUUGUUAUGUGGGAUCAGAGACAAAGUGUUGCCAUUCAAACGUAUGAUAUAAAUGGCUCAAUAUAUGCUUUAGAAUUUGAUAGUUCCCAUAUGUAUGCUGUUGCCGGAAAUGGUCUUUAUGAAUUGGACUUUACGAGAAAAAACUACUUUAAUC